Molecule: small nuclear RNA, 93 nt
Filed under: Canis lupus familiaris (dog)
Lineage: Eukaryota; Metazoa; Chordata; Mammalia; Carnivora; Canidae
Also listed under: 2 other names
Source: RNAcentral
GUGCUUGCUUCGGCAGCACAUGUACUAAAAUUGGAACAAUACAGAGAAGAUUAGCUUGGUCCCUGUGCAAGGAUGACACACAAAUAUAUUUCU